RNAcentral lists this long non-coding RNA (5023 nucleotides) under Octopus sinensis (East Asian common octopus). Its description in RNAcentral is "uncharacterized LOC118767102, transcript variant X1". Lineage: Eukaryota; Metazoa; Mollusca; Cephalopoda; Octopoda; Octopodidae. The record is from RNAcentral.
GUGCUACUUAAAAAGCAUCCAGUUCACACAGUAAAGUGACAUUUGGAAGGGCAUCCAGCGAUAAAAACCUUGCCAAAACUGACUUCACCAGUUCAAUGGUUGGUGCUAGGAAAGGCAUCCAGUUGUCAAAAUCCUGUCAAAAUGCAGGCUUCUACCUGGCUGACUCCUGUUAAACAAUGAUGAUGAUGAUGCAUAUAUAUAUAUGUGUGUGUGUAUGUAUGUAUGUAACUACUUGGACUUUGGGUAUUUGCCUAUUGAUAUGCCGAUCAAAGCAUAUUCACCAUUUGGGCUACCUAAUGUCAUCUACAAUAACGAUAUAAUUUUCGAUGGAUCUACAUCAGGAAAUCCUCAGUGUUUGUUGAGUUUAUAGUUGAAAAAAGAAGCAGAAGAUGGAUUUAGAACGAAUCUUUAUUCCGCACGACAAUGUAUUUUGAUACAUCCUGAAUCUGUCCCAGUGGAUAUUGUGCAUCUAAUUGCAUUACAUCAAUCAAUGCAGGCUCCGUCACUUCAGGUGCUUGGGGUAGAAAAAUAUCCUACUACACAUACUGAGAUAUCCUCGACAUGUUCUGGCUAGUUGUACAUUGGUACACUGAAAGGGCAUCACCAAUAUAUAUAUAUAUAUAUUAUGUAGUUGAAUAGUACAUCCUUGGUUAUGGCCAGUCACAAAUGUUUUCACACCAACUAUCGCACUUACAAUAUAGACAACUCAUCAAAGCUGCUGGCCAAGAGGCACAAAACUUCUUUCUAAUAGAGGUAAAAAUACAGCCUUGGUCAGUAUUUACCUUCAUUAGUAAGGAAGUUAUGUACCUCUGGUCAGGAGGUCUUAUAUGUUGCCUGUAUAACCUAGUGCAAUAAUAGGCAUGAAAUUGAUAGUAACUUUCUGUCUGGCUAUAUCCCAUGAUAUAUAACUGCUAAAAUUUUCCCUUUAGAGUGCUCUUUUUAUCACACUUAAGGACAACUGACUAAUUUUAUAUGUAUGUAUAUAUGUGUGUGUGUAUAUAUAUAUGUGUGUGUUUGUAUUAUAUGUAGUUAUUUUAUUAUGCAAGGAAUUUCGUCCAUACAUCCUUUUCUCCUCUCCCUUCUCCUUGUGUCUUAUUCUUAUAGGAGUCUCCUUAUCAGAUACUCUUCUCUUUUACUUCCCUCGUUGCAAUGAAAAGAAUGACUUAUUUCGUGCAAUGAAAAUAACAGAAAUACAUUUAUAGGCUUGUGUGUGUUCUGUUAUCACAUUCACUUGUGAUGUUUUGGCUAAAUAGACUGGCAACUGUACAUGACAUACAUACAUACACACACACACAUAUGCAUAUAUAUAUACACAUUAUAUUUGUGGGUUAACAAGGCUACCAUUGGUUUCAUACGCAGAGAAAUUUCUAAGCAAUUCUCAAACCUGUCUCAUGGAUGUUCAUUCUUGUCUGCAUCUUGAAGGCAUUCUUCUUCUUCAAGAUGGAAGGCUUGGUCAUUGCUGGGAAAUUUCUCUCUGCAUGAAACCAGUGGUAGCCUUGUUGACUCACCAAGUUUUCUUAUAUAGUUAGUCACGUCUGUCUUUGUUACAACACAUGCACAUUUCUGCUGCAAGCUGAUGCACACUGCAAAUUGUGCAUCUUGGUGCUAAUUACCAGUCCUGCUUCAUCAGGGUCAAAUUUAACUGUUGGAUGGAUAUCAUCUGAGUAUAGUAUAAAUUCAACCAAAAUUGUUCUUUUGUGUGGUAUUAGCAUGACUAAAAAUAGUCAUAUAUCUCUUGAACUUUUAGAGGUAUAUCUACCUAUACACCUAUCUAUAGAUAGAUAGAUAGGUAGAUAGAUAUAGAUAGAUAGAUAGAUAGAUAUACAUAUAUAGAUAGAUAGAUACAUACAUACAUACAUACAUACAUACAUACAUAGACAGACAUGAGAGAUAGAUUAGCUGAGCGCAACAGAUGGGUCUAAGAUCAAUUUUACACACACACACAUAUAGACACAUAUAGAGAGAAGAGAGAGAGAGAGAGAGAAAGAUAGAGAUAGAUAGAUAGACAUGAGAGAUAGAUGGCCUGAGCGUAACAGAUGGGUCUAAUUUUACACACACAAACACAAACACACACACACACACACACACAUAUAGACACACACAUACGCACAUUAUGCUAUCUUUUGCUACUUUCGGCACCGAAUAACAAAAUGCUUCAUCACGGUGGUGCUGAAGAGAAUUUGUUUGUCUUAGAAUCUAACUAAUCUGGAGCGGAUUGUUAAACACCAGACUGAAAAGUGCAAAACUGAAAUUUGCUUUCAGAGUUCGGGAUGUAAUCUGACCAUAAGCUGGACCGGAUCCGUUGAUGGUCGCGCUAAUGAUCCUUGGCAUUCUGUUGCCUUCAUCCUUCAGCAGUUGAAAAAAAAGUACCAGAAGUUUUGAUAUAGAUACCCACCAAAGUUACUGAAUCAAUUCUGAAAUUAAAAGUCGAACCGGAAUGGUUCCAUUCGUAAAUGUAGAAUUAAAAACUGGGGUCGGAUUUGGUUCCUGUUGUUUUCGUCCCCUUUAAGACUUCAAACUAACACAAGAAAGAUUUCAGAUAAGUGCUGGAAGUGACCAAGCCUCAUCCUCCUCCUCCUAUAUCUGUGUCUGUAUAUGAUCGGACUUUUACCCAAAAUCUGUGCUUUUGUUUGGCUCUGAAACAUGGAGAGCCACCUGCAGCAACUACAAGAAGAUCCAGACCUUCAUCAACAAAUGUCUCCGGCAGAUCCUCCAUCUGAAGUGGUUCGACAGAGUGCCAAACACUGACCUGUGGGAAAGAGCCAACCAAGAGUCCAUACAUGUUCAGAUUAGACGAAGGAAAUGGAGAUGGAUCGGAUACACACUGCGGAAAGAACCCUCAAAUGUGACACCAUAAGCACUUGACUGGAACCCGCAGGGGAAAAGGAAGCGAGGACGCCCCAAGCAGAGCAUUUUGGACGAGCUUAGGACCACCGGCCUGACAUGGGAAGCAGCCAAGAAACACACCAAUGACCGCAAAAAGUGGAAAACAACUGUUGAAGCCCUAUGCUCCACAAGGGGCAAAAAGGAUUAAGAAGAAGAAGAAUAUGAUCGAACGGAGUCAUUAUUGGUUGUUCAGCACCGCCACCGCCGCUAUUGCUGCUGCCGCCGGUGCCGCUACCACCGUCACCUCCACUUGGUGUCGGGUGCCACCAAGUAGACCUCUAUGAAUUAUUAAGACGAAUGACAUGAUUCUAAAAGUAUGUCCUUCGAAAGAUCUCUGGGGUAACGUUAUUCGACUGGGUUCGUAGCUCGGAGACCAGGAAGUCUGGCUAGGUCGACGUUUUAUUUCUCUGCAUCCAGAGAUAACGGCUCCAGUUCUACGGACGUAUGAUGGAAAUGUCACAAACGAAGAAUCACAAGGCGGAUCCUUCAAGUCGAGCCAACCGACAGAAGACUUACGGGAAGACCAAGAACCAGAUGGUUGGAUAAUAUUCAUAGUCUCAAGGCGGUGAGCUAAGAGAAUCGGUGGCACGCCGGGCGAAAAACUUAGCGGCAUUUCAUCCGUCUUUACGAUCUGAGUUCAAAUUCCACCGAGGUCGACUUUAUCUUUUAUCCUUUCGGGGUCGAUAAAAUAGGUACCAGUUGAACAUUGGGGUCAAUGUAGUCGACUUACACCCUGCCUCGAAAUUGCUGGCCUUGUGCCAAAAUUUGACACCAAUACACAGUCUCAGCUAGUGACGCUAGAGAAUCCAGUUGGAAAGUAUAAAGACAGUCGCUACUGUUAGGAUCUUAUAGAAGAGGUUUCUGAACACUCUGCCCCAACCCACGACCCUUAUAGGAUUAAUGGGCAGAGAAAAUGGAUGGAUGGGUUGAGAAGAUUUGAACUAUGGUUGUACAGCUCUGGAUAUGCCAUCUCCAGUUGAAAGUGAUGUGACAUUCAAUGAUGGUUUAUGAUCAUAAUGAUGCAGUUUAGAGACGUGGACACGUUCUACUCUGUUCUCUGUUAUUUGUCCGCUGUCCGAUGUGGUUCUUUCUGUGUCUCAGGAGAUCCAGAGGUGGUGGUCAGAACGUGACAGCUUCUUUAUAAGAGAUGCUUAUCCCAGCACCGGGUUUGGCGCUAAUGACGCUAUUGAUGGGCGCUCUUGACUAAAACGUCAUGUUCGAACACAUACGAGUGCUCUCUCUCUCUCUCCCCUCUCUCUCCCCCCCUCUCUCUCUCUCUCUCUCUCUCUCACACACACACACAUAAACACGCACACACACACACACACACAUAUACACUCAUAUACCUACAUAUGUUUAUACAUAUAUACAUACAUAUGAGCAUAUGCGUAUUCAAAAUGUUUCUGUAAACGAAUUUAAAAGAUAUAUGAAGACACACACACACACACACACACACACACACACACAUACACACAUUACACACAUUACACGCACACAAUGGAGGGUGGAUGAAAGUGCAGAAGCGACUUAGUGAUAACCACGGAACAGACUCAACCCCCACAAUGAGUGGUUCCCACAAAAGGCUUUAAUGACUAUGACAAAAUCCACUCAGGUCAGUGAAUCGGCUGAGAAUUGUCACGUGUCCAGUACUGAAUAGAGGACAAUUGCUCUGAAUGUGUGUGUGUGUGUGUGUGUGUUUAAGCAAUGUUACUUGUUAGGUGAACGGGUCAAUAACGCAUGCAUGCUGUAUUACAAAUGACGUAAUUGUCACGCGCACGCACCUUACUGGUUAACUUCAUGCGCAUACACACUAAUUAAGGCGGCGCGCUGGCAGAAUCGUAAGAAUGUUGCUAAAAAUGCUUUCUGAUAUUAUUUUAUGUUCUGAGUUCAAAUACCUGCCAAGUUCAACUUAGCUUUUCGUCCUUCCGGGGCCGAUAAAAUGAAGUACCUGUCAAGCACUGGCGUCAAUUGUAUCGAUUUAUCCCUUGUCCAGUUUGACCAUUCUUUCUGUCCGGUCUUUGUUUUAGCCACAAGGGCAGCAAAACACAAAAUGUGUGGUGUGUGUGUGUUUAAAUACAUGUGUGUACAUAUUUACAAACACACUUAGACAUACAUAUAUAUUUUCAUAUCUAUACAC